GAUGAACGCUGGCGGCGUGCUUAACACAUGCAAGUCGAACGGUGAAGGCGGAGCUUGCUCUGCUGGAUCAGUGGCGAACGGGUGAGUAACACGUGAGCAAUCUGCCCCUGACUCUGGGAUAAGCGCUGGAAACGGCGUCUAAUACUGGAUACGAGCUGCGAAGGCAUCUUCAGCAGCUGGAAAGAACUUCGGUCAGGGAUGAGCUCGCGGCUUAUCAGCUUGUUGGUGAGGUAACGGCUCACCAAGGCGUCGACGGGUAGCCGGCCUGAGAGGGUGACCGGCCACACUGGGACUGAGACACGGCCCAGACUCCUACGGGAGGCAGCAGUGGGGAAUAUUGCACAAUGGGCGAAAGCCUGAUGCAGCAACGCCGCGUGCGGGACGACGGCCUUCGGGUUGUAAACCUCUUUUGGCAGGGAAGAAGCGAAAGUGACGGUACCUGCAGAAAAAGCGCCGGCUAACUACGUG
RNAcentral lists this ribosomal RNA (468 nucleotides) under uncultured bacterium. Its description in RNAcentral is "partial 16S ribosomal RNA". It matches the Rfam family "Bacterial small subunit ribosomal RNA", at positions 28 to 507 of the family's 1533-position model. The record is from RNAcentral.